ACUCAAUCCAGGUCCUCUGCAAGAACAACA
RNAcentral lists this non-coding RNA (30 nucleotides) under Cricetulus griseus (Chinese hamster). The record is from RNAcentral. Lineage: Eukaryota; Metazoa; Chordata; Mammalia; Rodentia; Cricetidae.